RNAcentral lists this ribosomal RNA (1315 nucleotides) under uncultured Chloroflexota bacterium. Its description in RNAcentral is "bacterial SSU rRNA". It matches the Rfam family "Bacterial small subunit ribosomal RNA", at positions 15 to 1350 of the family's 1533-position model. Lineage: Bacteria; Bacillati; Chloroflexota. The record is from RNAcentral.
GAUCCUGGCUCAGGAUGAACGCUGGCGGCGUGCCUAAUACAUGCAAGUCGAACGAGAAGCCUUGGAUUUAUCUAAGGUGGAGAGUGGCGCACGGGUGAGUAACACAUGGCUGACCUGCCCCUCAGAGGGGGACAACCGGUGGAAACGCCGGCUAAUACCCCAUGCUUGCGUCCGGGUUAGAGGCCGGAUGCAGAAAGGCCGAGGCGCUGAGGGAGGGGGCUGUGGACCAUCAGCUAGUUGGUAGGGUAACGGCCUACCAAGGCGAGGACGGAUAGGGGGCCUGAGAGGGUGACCCCCCACACGGGCACUGAGACACGGGCCCGACUCCUACGGGAGGCAGCAGUAAGGGAUAUUGCGACAAUGGGCGUAAGCCUGACGCAGCAACGCCGCGUGGAGGAUGAAGGCCUUCGGGUUGUAAACUCCUUUUCUGUGGGAAGAGGAAGGACGGUACCACAGGAAGAAGUCUCGGCUAACUACGUGCCAGCAGCCGCGGUAAAACGUAGGAGGCGAGCGUUAUCCGGAUUUACUGGGUGUAAAGCGCGUGCAGGCGGUCUGGUAAGUCGAGCGUGAAAGCUCCCGGCUCAACCGGGAGAGGACGUGCGAAACUGCGAGGCUAGAGACAGGUAGAGGCGUACGGAAUUCCGGGUGUAGUGGUGAAAUGCGUAGAUAUCCGGAGGAACACCAGUGGCGAAGGGCGGUACGCUGGGCCUGGUCUGACGCUAAGACGCGAAAGCAUGGGGAGCGGACGGGAUUAGAAACCCCGGUAGUCCAUGGCCGUAACGAUGCUAACUAGGUGUUGCGGGUAAAAGACCGGCAGUGCCGGAGUUAACGCGAUAAGUUAGCCACUGGGGGACUACGGUCGCAAGGCUAACUCCAAAAGAAUUGACGGGGGGCCCGCACAAGCAGCGGAAGCGUGUGGUUUAAUUCGAGGGUACACGAAAAAACCUACCUGGGCUUGACAUGACGGUGGUAGGGAACCGAAAGGGGACCGACCUUCGGGAGCCGUCACAGGUGCUGCAUGGCUGUCGUCAGCUCGUGUCGUGAGAUGUUCGGUUAAGUCCGGUAACGAGCGCAACCCUCAUCGCUAGUUACAAGUGUCUAGCGAGACUGCCCGUUCAACGCGGGAGGAAGGGCGGGGGAUGACGUCAAGUUUCAGCCAUGGCCUUUUAUGUCCAGGGCUACACACACGCUACAAUGGCCGGUACAAUGGGUCGCCAACCCGCGAGGGGGAGCCAAUCCACCAAAGCCGGUCACAGUUCGAAUUGCAGGCUGCAACCCGCCUGCAUGAAGUCGGAGUUGCUAGUAACCGCAGGUC